AGCCCGCGGUCUUCAAACCUGCUGCGGGGGUCU
Molecule: transfer RNA, 33 nt
Filed under: Nephroselmis pyriformis
Lineage: Eukaryota; Viridiplantae; Chlorophyta; Nephroselmidophyceae; Nephroselmidales; Nephroselmidaceae
Description: partial Selenocysteine transfer RNA
Source: RNAcentral